Long non-coding RNA from Branchiostoma floridae (Florida lancelet), 1154 nucleotides. RefSeq lists it as uncharacterized. The transcript has 4 exons. The record is from RefSeq and is a predicted model, not a curated record. NCBI's taxonomy places the organism in Eukaryota, Metazoa, Chordata, Leptocardii, Amphioxiformes, Branchiostomatidae.
UAGUCGGAACAAGCCAUGGUAUGGUCGGAUGUGCAUGAUUCAUUGAGCAUCGUACAAUUGUGUCUCAUACAUAAACAACAUUUACUGAGGAACAGUAUUCAGGGUUUCCAGCUUGCAGUGCUCCGUCUACCGAAAACAAAUUGAGGAGAGAUCAGAUAAGACCACAACAAAAAUGUCUGCCUUGAAGCUUGUCCUUUUGGUGAUCGUGUUGGUCGCUAUCAUUGGAGGCCAGGAAAACAAAGUUGCCGGUGAAAAAGCUGUCAGAGAGGCGCGAGAGGCUGCAGAUGACGGGGCAGUCGUCUCCGAGUCCGACCCGAUCGCACUCGAGCGAGUCAAGCGCCAGCGCAGAGGGCUGAAGUCUUGGUUUUGCAACAAGCUGUCCGACAAAAAGCCCAACGGGAAAAGAGGAGUGAAGGACAAACUGUUCCAAACCUUCUGUGUCCCUGACGUUGCAGUCACCAUGUAGAACAGGACACUGGCGUUUCGAGCGAGGACAUUGGACGAUGGUGACCACAGACGUCAUGAAGAAUGCCGUCUAGCCAAUGACAGUGGAUGAUAGUCUCUUUGAUUUUGACGCAUAGGACCAUGUUUGUAGACUAAUAGUGUUUCUAAUGAUGUAGGAAUGCAGUGCUAAUACUUUUAAAUGUUUCGUACAAAUAAAAUUUGUAUUCGUUUUCAUCUAUAUAUAUGAUAUCGUUCCACAACGUAGUUGUGAGUAUAUAUUUUACACUAUUAAUAUGUAUUUUUAGUAGACCAAACAAAGUACAAGUUAUCAGUGUUUAUUAGAUUAUGCUGUCAAUCUAUAUCUAUAGUGCAUAUCUAUGCAUUGGGAAGUAAAGGUAAUACUCGAAUGUCACACGAGAUAUCGAUAUAAUCCUAUCCGGAAUUCGAGCUAACGAGCUAAAUGUUUGCGUUUGUUUAGAAAGAAAAGUGUUGCAUUGACUCUGGCCUCUACAAGUUGUAAAUGCCAAAAAUGGUCAAAUUAAUACCAGGAUCUAUGAUAGCAUCUAUGUUAAAAAAAUGUUAAGGUUAGAUAUUCUGGUCAAGUGAUAGAUGUUAUGAAAAUAAAUCUAACGUAAGAAACAAAACAAAAACGAUGAAAACGAUUAAGAAAAACAGAGAACAUGACAUUUGAUAUGAUUUUAUAUUGUCAA